This 254-nucleotide ribosomal RNA is filed under the name uncultured bacterium. RNAcentral's name for it is "partial 16S ribosomal RNA". It matches the Rfam family "Bacterial small subunit ribosomal RNA", at positions 524 to 776 of the family's 1533-position model. The record is from RNAcentral.
UACAGAGGGGGCAAGCGUUAUUCGGAAUUAUUGGGCGUAAAGAGCUCGUAGGCGGUUCGGUAAGUCGAAUGUGAAAUCUCCACGCUCAACGUGGAGGGGUCAUUCGAAACUGCCGUGACUUGAGUACGGUAGGGGAGUGUGGAAUUCCCGGUGUAGCGGUGAAAUGCGCAGAGAUCGGGAGGAACACCCGUAGCGAAGGCGGCACUCUGGGCCGAUACUGACGCUGAGGAGCGAAAGCGUGGGGAGCAAACAGG